CUCCUGUUUUGUCUCAUAAGGGCACGUAGAUAUCUGUUUCCCAUAUUACUUAUUUAAAAAAAAAAAAAGGAAAGAAAACAAUCAUCCCACUGGAAAGCCUGAAGUAUAUGUAGUGCUCCUGGCAAAAUUCUCACCAGCAGCUCUGCUAUCAGCUGAUAAACAUUACCAGUGAUCAGCAAGGAAGGUCACAAUCUUACUUAUUGGUCUUCUGUUGCAAAUAAACAUCAGCAACAGACUGCUAUGGUACACAAAAAAAAACAGGGAGAAAAAAAAGAGAGAAGGACAAGAAAGGAGAAAGGAGAGGGGGACCCACUCAUCUGUGUCAGACCUGUGGUGCUCAUCUCAGGAAAGCAGAGCUCCCUUCUUGGGCAAAUGGAGCGGGGGAUCGUCUCUCCUGACCCUUCAGCCUUUAUCUACUUUUUCAGUGUUUUCCAAUAAAUUCCAUAUCUGCUCUCCAUUGGCUCAAGUUUUGAUCUUCAGUUUCAAAUCAAUAACCUCUUACAGAAAGACAUAUAGUACCAAAAAAAAAAUAAAAAAAAUCUGGACUAAAUAUUUCUGUCUGCAAUAUAGAUGAGAAAUGUUCUGGGUGGUUAAAAUAUUUUCUAUUACACUAAAUGAUUACUCUGAGGUUUGUUACAUUAGCUUAGGAAUAAUCAGUUAUGAUUUAUUGACAGCAAUGUGCUUUGAGUAGAGAACAGAAGCACAGGAUCACGGGAUAAAUGAGGCUGGCAGGGCCCUCUGGGUCCACCUGACCCAAAUCCUGCUCUAGCAGGGACACCCAGGCAGGGCACCCAGGGCCACAUCCAGGUGGCUUUUGAUCCCCAAGGUGGAUCUUCACAGCCUCUAUGGGCAGCCUGUGCCAGUGCUCCAUCACUGUACAGCACAGGAGUGCUGCCUGAUGGACAGAUGCAACCUCCUGUGCUCCAGUUUGUGCCCACUGCCUCUUGUCCUGGCACUGGGCGUCACUAAGGUCACCCAACAACAUUCAGAUUUGUACUGAAAAAAAAAAAAGCUUAAAUGUUGCUUCCAGUGCAUUUUCUAAUUUUAAUUUGAUAGAUGAUGGUCCUGCGGGAUAAAUCACUGAUGGAAAUAGUACGAUCAUAAGCACCGAGGAGUUCAGGUAUGAACUUCACCAUAAAAUUGUUGUGUAGCUUUAAGAGAGAGUUCAGGUAAAGAAGUGACAGCGGAUAAACUCUCUGUCAGCAGUGAUGAGAACAAUAAUGUCUGCCUCACAAAGGAGUUGCACAGACUUUCAGUUAGUGUUUAUCAAGAAUUUUGAAAAGUGUGCAUUAUAUUCUGUAAUCUGUACUCUGGGGUCUUCUAAAUAAAUAAAUGGAGGCCUUUUACA
Molecule: long non-coding RNA, 1348 nt
Filed under: Numida meleagris (helmeted guineafowl)
Lineage: Eukaryota; Metazoa; Chordata; Aves; Galliformes; Numididae
Description: lncRNA (ENSNMEG00000012460.1)
Source: RNAcentral